AAAACAAAUACUUUCUCACCUAACAAAUCCUUCCAUCUUCUUCCUUCCCCCCACCGCAGGAUCCACCGCAUUGCUCCUUCCUCCAGUCCAUAACCAUUGAACUAAAUAAAAUUAACAUAUUUAAGAUCUAACAAGUUGGUGUGGACGAGGACAUUGAAUUGGCUAAACAAGUUGACAAACCCUUCUUUACCUCAAAUUUUCAAAUCCUUCCAUUGUAGCAAAUCAACAUUCAUACUUUCAUUGUAGCAAAUCAAACGAGCAAAGACAACUGGUUUGGAUCGAUCGAGAAGCAGAGCAAAGUGAAGACAACGGAAGGUUCUUUGAGGCUUUGAGUCAUGGAGGGUAGACCAAACAGUCAAAAUCCAUUGUUUGUGAACGUAGCUUCAGGGGAAAUUCUAGGGUGACAGAGUGAAACAUAUCUCACACCCGUGAAGAGUGAUUUUUACCUGCUAUUAGAGGUUGUUCCGGUUUUUUCUCUUUGGUAAUUAUUAAUUGAGAAUAUAAUAUUGUAAUUAUUAUUAGAUAUUAAAACUCAUACAUAUCCAAUCACCAUUGACCACUACUGUUGGUACACAAGGCAUGUCUGACUUACUUAAUCAAACUGUAAUGGGAAGACAGAAUUGAAAGUGUAUGGGGUGCUUCAUAUGAUGGUUUUGAAUAUGAUACUAAAAUGCAGGAAAAAGGGUUAAAACCCAAUACUUACACCUAUACCACAAUGAUUGUGGGACUUUCAAGGGCCGGAAAUGUUAUGGAAGCACGAGGCCUAUCUUGGCGCCCCGAACGGAAAAAAUAAUAUUCAUAUUCAGGUUCAAGUUCAACACAAAUCUAUUUCUUUGUUACCAUGUUUCUCUUAUGUUGGAAAUGGUGUACAAGCAGCAUUUCAUGGUAGCAAGUUAUUUGUGUAAAAGCAGAAAAUAAAAUAGCAAAUUCUGCCGAGUUAUUUUUGAAUAAGAAGAAUUUGAUAUAUUUACGCUGAGAUAGAAUUUCAUGGUUCAGGUUCAACACAAA
Long non-coding RNA from Trifolium pratense (red clover), 1008 nucleotides. RefSeq lists it as uncharacterized. Lineage: Eukaryota; Viridiplantae; Streptophyta; Magnoliopsida; Fabales; Fabaceae. The transcript is spliced from 5 exons. The record is from RefSeq and is a predicted model, not a curated record.